UCGCGAAAACUCCACAAUGUGGGAAACCACGAUGGGGGAACUCCCAGUGCGUACACUUUGUGUACGCUGUUCUCGCGCCUAAAAAGCACGAGAAGUAAGGGCCGGGUAAGACGGGUGCCAGCCGCCG
Molecule: ribosomal RNA, 127 nt
Filed under: uncultured archaeon
Lineage: Archaea
Description: partial 16S ribosomal RNA
Rfam family: Archaeal small subunit ribosomal RNA
Source: RNAcentral